Anastrepha ludens (Mexican fruit fly) is the source of this 416-nucleotide long non-coding RNA. RefSeq lists it as uncharacterized. Lineage: Eukaryota; Metazoa; Arthropoda; Insecta; Diptera; Tephritidae. The transcript has 3 exons. The record is from RefSeq and is a predicted model, not a curated record.
UUCAAAUUAGAAAUAUGGUGAAGUUGGUUGUUGUUUGUUAAUGUAACGAUACGAAGGGAAAUUUCAAGGCAUUGAAAUAAACAGGUGGAGGCUAAAGGGUUUCCCCCGAAAAUAUUUAUUUACAUGCGGCCUUCCAUCAAAACUUGGAGACAAACGAUUAUGGGGUUUUGUGUUUUUCAUGGACAGAAAUAAGACACAAAAAAAGUUGUUACUCAGUGGCAAUACGCUGGGCACGAAGAGCAUAGCUUUUCCACGCAUGACACUAACUACCUAUUCACAUGCCCCAUCGACCCCACUCAUCUAAUACCCCUCUCCCUCUGGACCCAACCUGUCGAAACAGCCGGUUUCCUGGGCCAACCUUUAGAUGGGCUAGACGAAGACGACCGGUAAUCUACACUACACUAACAGAAUUAAAU